This 598-nucleotide ribosomal RNA is filed under the name Moesziomyces parantarcticus. RNAcentral's name for it is "eukaryotic LSU rRNA". It matches the Rfam family "Eukaryotic large subunit ribosomal RNA", at positions 65 to 645 of the family's 3401-position model. Lineage: Eukaryota; Fungi; Basidiomycota; Ustilaginomycetes; Ustilaginales; Ustilaginaceae. The record is from RNAcentral.
CUAACAAGGAUUCCCCUAGUAACGGCGAGUGAAGAGGGAAGAGCCCAAGAUUGAAAGCUGGCGUCUUCGGCGUCCGCAUUGUAAUCUCAAGAAGUGUUUUCCGCUUCGGACCAAGCCUAAGUCCCUUGGAAAAGGGCAUCAUAGAGGGUGAUAAUCCGUACAUGGCUUGGAGCGCCCGAGGCUUUGUGAUACGCUUUCUAAGAGUCGAGUUGUUUGGGAAUGCAGCUCAAAAUGGGUGGUAAAUGCCAUCUAAGGCUAAAUAUUGGGGAGAGACCGAUAGCGAACAAGUACAGUGAUGGAAAGAUGAAAAGAACUUUGAAAAGAGAGUUAAACAGUACGUGAAAUUGCCAAAAGGGAAGGGUAGGAGGUCAGAGAUGCGGCCUGGGAUUCAGCCUUGCUUUUGCUUGGUGUUUUUCCCAGAUUGCAGGCCAACGUCGGUUUUGGGCACUGGAGAAGGGUAGGAGGAACGUGGCACCCCUCGGGGUGUGUUAUAGCCUCCUACUGGAUACAGCGACCGAGACCGAGGACAGCAGCGUACUCGUAAGAGCGGGCCCUCGGGCACCUUUACGCUUAGGGCGUUGGCAUAAUGGCCCUCUAC